This is a long non-coding RNA of Gymnodraco acuticeps, 713 nucleotides long. RefSeq lists it as uncharacterized. The record is from RefSeq and is a predicted model, not a curated record. The transcript has 6 exons. NCBI's taxonomy places the organism in Eukaryota, Metazoa, Chordata, Actinopteri, Perciformes, Bathydraconidae.
UAUGCAGCAUACGGCCCAGCCGGAUGGUUGCUGCUCCGUGUGGAACGUGUCCUAUCAGGUGUAACAUCUACCAAUGGUUGUACAUGACAGAGACCUCCUCCGCCUCUUUGCUGUCUUACUAGUCAAUCCUUCUGAUCAGGUCCUUUCCUAAAUAGUGAAAGGAUCAUGCCAGCCCACAUCAAACACCUGAUCAAGAGCUUGUGAACCUCACUGCUGCGGACACCUGUGUGAUAUUCCACUCUGACUGGAACCCUCAAAAUGACCUGCAGGCUCAAGCUCGGUGUCAUCGUUUUGGCCAGUCUAAGGCGGUAGAGGUGUACCGUCUGAUCACUAGAAACUAUGAGAGGGAAAUGCUGGAUAAAGCUAGUCUGAAGCUCGGGCUGGACCGUCCCGUCCUGCAGAGCAUGAGUGGGAACAACAACGGGCCGGUCCAGCAGUUCUCCAAGAAGGAGAUCGAGGACCUGCUGAGGAAAGGAGCCUACGCCGCCAUCAUGGACGAGAACGAUGAAGGCAAUCGCUUCUGCUAGGAGGACAUCGACCAGAUCCUGCAGCGAAGAGCCACCAUCAUCACCAUCACCAGUUUGCUUCAAGCAGUGGCUGCACGAGAAAGACGUGGAGGACCAAGAAAUGCUGGCCAGAUUGGCAAAGACCGGAAGAUACAUAACAGAGAAGAUAAUGGAUAUUAACAAGAAAAAUAAAAAAAAUGUUUAUAA